This is a non-coding RNA of Phascolarctos cinereus (koala), 206 nucleotides long. Lineage: Eukaryota; Metazoa; Chordata; Mammalia; Diprotodontia; Phascolarctidae. The record is from RefSeq and is a predicted model, not a curated record.
AAGACUCAAGAGAAGCAUGAAAAGGAGGUAAAGAAGAGGAAAAGAGAUAUUUCUCUAUACUGCCACUUGUUUCUGAGGAGAUGGAAAAGGAGAAGAAAUUGGUUACUUCCCUCUGCUGUUACCUACUUUGAUUCAAUGGAUAGAGUUCUGGACCUGGAGUCAGGAAAAUCACUACAAGGAUCCAAGAUAUCUCCAGAGGCCUCGGG